Molecule: ribosomal RNA, 497 nt
Filed under: uncultured bacterium
Lineage: Bacteria
Description: partial 16S ribosomal RNA
Rfam family: Bacterial small subunit ribosomal RNA
Source: RNAcentral
GAUGAACGCUGGCGGCGUGCCUAAUACAUGCAAGUCGAGCGAACAGACGAGAAGCUUGCUUCUCUGAUGUUAGCGGCGGACGGGUGAGUAACACGUGGAUAACCUACCUAUAAGACUGGGAUAACUUCGGGAAACCGGAGCUAAUACCGGAUAAUCUUUUGAACCGCAUGGUUCAAUAGUGAAAGACGGUCUUGCUGUCACUUAUAGAUGGAUCCCCGCUGCAUUAGCUAGUUGGUAAGGUAACGGCUUACCAAGGCAACGAUGCAUAGCCGACGGGAGAGGGGGAUCGGCCGCACUGGAGCUGAGACACGGUCCAGACUCCUACGGGAGGCAGCAGUAGGGAAUGUUCCGCAGUGGGCGAAAGCCUGACGGAGCAACGCCGCGUGAGUUAUGAAGGUCUUCGGAUCGUAAAACUCUGUUAUUAGGGGAAAACAUAUGUGUAAGUAACUGUGGACAUCUUGACGGUACCUAAUCAGAAAGCCACGGCUAACUACGUG